UGGGGAAUAUUGCACAAUGGGCGCAAGCCUGAUGCAGCAACGCCGCGUGAGGGACGACGGCCUUCGGGUUGUAAACCUCUUUUGGCAGGGAAGAAGCGAAAGUGACGGUACCUGCAGAAAAAGCACCGGCUAACUACGUGCCAGCAGCCGCGGUGAUACGUAGGGUGCAAGCGUUGUCCGGAUUUACUGGGCGUAAAGGGCGCGUAGGCGGCGCGGUAAGUCACUUGUGAAAUCUCUGAGCUUAACUCAGAACGGCCAAGUGAUACUGCUGUGCUAGAGUGCGGAAGAGGCAACCGGAAUUCUUGGUGUAGCGGUGAAAUGCGUAGAUAUCAAGAGGAACACCUGAGGCGAAGGCGGGUUGCUGGGCCGACACUGACGCUGAUGCGCGAAAGCCAGGGGAGCAAACG
This 407-nucleotide ribosomal RNA is filed under the name uncultured bacterium. Its description in RNAcentral is "bacterial SSU rRNA". It matches the Rfam family "Bacterial small subunit ribosomal RNA", at positions 355 to 774 of the family's 1533-position model. The record is from RNAcentral.